This 94-nucleotide non-coding RNA is filed under the name uncultured Bombella sp. Its description in RNAcentral is "TPP riboswitch (THI element)". It matches the Rfam family "TPP riboswitch aptamer (THI element)", at positions 7 to 92 of the family's 105-position model. From Rfam's summary of the family: Vitamin B(1) in its active form thiamin pyrophosphate (TPP) is an essential coenzyme that is synthesised by coupling of pyrimidine and thiazole moieties in bacteria. The previously detected thiamin-regulatory element, thi box was extended, resulting in a new, highly conserved RNA secondary structure, the THI element, which is widely distributed in eubacteria and also occurs in some archaea. Analysis of operon structures identified a large number of new candidate thiamin-regulated genes, mostly transporters, in various prokaryotic organisms. The record is from RNAcentral. Lineage: Bacteria; Pseudomonadati; Pseudomonadota; Alphaproteobacteria; Acetobacterales; Acetobacteraceae.
UCCGAGGGGUGCUUUUCUCAAGCUGAGAAAGUGAUGAACUCACUUAACCCUUUGAACCUGAUCCGGUUCGUACCGGCGAAGGGACAGGAAAACU